CGUAAGCCGUGAGAAUCGUCUUCCAGUCCGGGGCCACCAGUUAGAAAUGAUUGUUAAUCCGGGAUAUCCCUGAUUGGUGAAAGAUUUAUUGCCUGAAAAUGAGCUCGCGUCAGAUUAGCUAGUAGGUGGUGUAAGAGACUACCUAGGCAUCGAUCUGUAGCUGGUCUGAGAGGACGAUCAGCCACACUGGAACUGAGACACGGUCCAGACUCCUACGGGAGGCAGCAGUGGGGAAUUUUCCGCAAUGGGCGAAAGCCUGACGGAGCAAUACCGCGUGAGGGACGAAGGCUUUUGGGUCGUAAACCUCUUUUCUCAAGGAAGAUUUAGACGGUACUUGAGGAAUAAGCAUCGGCUAACUCCGUGCCAGCAGCCGCGGUAAUACGGAGGAUGCAAGCGUUAUCCGGAAUGAUUGGGCGUAAAGCGUCCGCAGGUGGCUUUAAAAGUCUGCUGUUAAAGCGUUAGGCUUAACCUAAUUACGGCAGUGGAAACUAUAAGGCUAGAGUAUGUUAGGGGUAGAGGGAAUUCCCAGUGUAGCGGUGAAAUGCGUAGAGAUUGGGAAGAACACCGGUGGCGAAAGCGCUCUGCUAGGACAAUACUGACCA
Molecule: ribosomal RNA, 602 nt
Filed under: Calothrix elenkinii AUS-JR/DB/NT-023
Lineage: Bacteria; Bacillati; Cyanobacteriota; Cyanophyceae; Nostocales; Calotrichaceae
Description: bacterial SSU rRNA
Rfam family: Bacterial small subunit ribosomal RNA
Source: RNAcentral